This 492-nucleotide ribosomal RNA is filed under the name uncultured bacterium. RNAcentral's name for it is "partial 16S ribosomal RNA". It matches the Rfam family "Bacterial small subunit ribosomal RNA", at positions 30 to 507 of the family's 1533-position model. The record is from RNAcentral.
AUUGAACGCUGGCGGCAUGCUUUACACAUGCAAGUCGAGCGGUAACAGGCCUUCGGGUGCUGACGAGUGGCGAACGGGUGAGUAAUGCAUCGGAACGUGCCCAGAGGUGGGGGAUAACGCAGCGAAAGCUGUGCUAAUACCGCAUGUGAUCUGAGGAUGAAAGCGGGGGACCAAGCAGCAAUGUUUGGCCUCGCGCCUCUGGAGCGGCCGAUGUCAGAUUAGGUAGUUGGUGGGGUAAAGGCCUACCAAGCCGACGAUCUGUAGCUGGUCUGAGAGGACGACCAGCCACACUGGGACUGAGACACGGCCCAGACUCCUACGGGAGGCAGCAGUGGGGAAUUUUGGACAAUGGGCGCAAGCCUGAUCCAGCAAUGCCGCGUGCGGGAAGAAGGCCUUCGGGUUGUAAACCGCUUUUGUACGGAACGAAAAGGCUCUGGCUAAUACCUGGGGCUGAUGACGGUACCGUAAGAAUAAGCACCGGCUAACUACGUG